This 179-nucleotide long non-coding RNA is filed under the name Mustela putorius furo (domestic ferret). RNAcentral describes it as "lncRNA (ENSMPUG00000032030.1)". Lineage: Eukaryota; Metazoa; Chordata; Mammalia; Carnivora; Mustelidae. The record is from RNAcentral.
CUUCUGUCCAUAGUUAAUGCUCGUUUCGAACCUGUGCUGUAUCAGGGAAUGAAAAACUCUUCCUCUACCCUUCUAGAUCUUCCGGCCGGACAAAGAAUCACAUCCACACGAGGAAACUGGUCGCUUGAAGGAGUUCCAUCAUUUAGAAAGAAAGAGGCUGAAAUAGAAUUGAAAUGAAC